Molecule: non-coding RNA, 31 nt
Filed under: Mus musculus (house mouse)
Lineage: Eukaryota; Metazoa; Chordata; Mammalia; Rodentia; Muridae
Source: RNAcentral
UAAGGAAAGCCGUUUGCACAGAAGAUGAGCA